GGGAAGAUAGCUCAGCCCGGUAGAGCUUCGCGUUGAAGCCGCGAGAAUGCGGGGGUUCAAAUCCCUCUCUUCCCA
This 75-nucleotide transfer RNA is filed under the name Bdellovibrio sp. CG10_big_fil_rev_8_21_14_0_10_47_8. Its description in RNAcentral is "tRNA-Phe". It matches the Rfam family "tRNA". From Rfam's summary of the family: Transfer RNA (tRNA) molecules are approximately 80 nucleotides in length. Lineage: Bacteria; Pseudomonadati; Bdellovibrionota; Bdellovibrionia; Bdellovibrionales; Pseudobdellovibrionaceae. The record is from RNAcentral.